AUUGAACGCUGGCGGCAGGCCUAACACAUGCAAGUCGAACGGUAACAGGAAGAAGCUUGCUUCUUUGCUGACGAGUGGCGGACGGGUGAGUAAUGUCUGGGAAACUGCCUGAUGGAGGGGGAUAACUACUGGAAACGGUAGCUAAUACCGCAUAACGUCGCAAGACCAAAGAGGGGGACCUUCGGGCCCCUUGCCAUCGGAUGUGCCCAGAUGGGAUUAGCUAGUAGGUGGGGUAACGGCCCACCUAGGCGACGAUCCCUAGCUGGUCUGAGAGGAUGACCAGCCACACUGGAACUGAGACACGGUCCAGACUCCUACGGGAGGCAGCAGUGGGGAAUAUUGCACAAUGGGCGCAAGCCUGAUGCAGCCAUGCCGCGUGUAUGAAGAAGGCCUUCGGGUUGUAAAGUACUUUCAGCGGGGAGGAAGGGAGUAAAGUUAAUACCUUUGCUCAUUGACGUUACCCGCAGAAGAAGCACCGGCUAACUCCGUG
This 490-nucleotide ribosomal RNA is filed under the name uncultured bacterium. RNAcentral's name for it is "partial 16S ribosomal RNA". It matches the Rfam family "Bacterial small subunit ribosomal RNA", at positions 30 to 507 of the family's 1533-position model. The record is from RNAcentral.